ACACUUUUAUCCAAACGCAUAACUGCUUAUUUUAAAAAUAAGUUUCAGCACUUUCAAAAGUAUUUUUUUAAAACUGCUUUUAUUAAACCCAUCCAAACGGGUCCUAACUCAUGUUUAUUUACUUACAAACUUUAAGAAUAACAAAAUAAUUUGCAACAAUUAUAGCCAUAUCCACCACAGGUUACUUUGUUAUUUCAGGGUGUCGAAAAUACUGUAUGUAUCAAUAUAAAUUAAAACUGUACGUUUAUAUAUAGUAUAAUUUUUCGACGAAAGGUGUCCAAUUCAGGUGACUCAGUCCCUGCUUAUAGACCAAAAUAUGAACAUAAUUCUGUUGAUUUAUUAAUCUUUACUUAAGGAUCCGAUAUAAAAUAUGUAAAUGGACUUUUUUCAUUUAAUUGCAUAGAUUUAUCUUUAAAAGAAUCAGUUUUUAAUUUCUAUCUUUUAUUAGUUGAUUAUGUAUUUUUGCCCCUAUCUCUAAUGUGGUCUCCACUUGUUACCCCAAAACAACGAAGCCAGGAGCCGAAGGAGGGACUUGAAUCCUCAACCUCUUAAAAAAUGAACUUAUCCGUACCAUGACUUAAGUUCUUUAACAACGCGAGACAUGAUUUAUGAGAUAUUAUGAUCAUCAUAAAAUUAAAAAUGACCAAACUUAUGACUUUGACUUAAAAACACUUUUGGUAUUUACUAAAUGUAUGACAAUCUUUAAAAAAUGCUCAUGAACAAAAUAAUUGUGUAUAUACAUAGACACGCCUAAUUAUGUAUAGGCAGAAAAAGUAAAAAAAUGUAUUAUAAUCUAGAGGUUAGAAAUAUUGACAUUGUCUAACUAUAAAAGGGAAUAGUAUCUCAUGUAAUGAUUGAACCACACACUUUUUAUUAGAACUUUGUGAUAUAUAAUAUCAUAGAUGAAAAAUGAGCCUCCAUUGAAAGUUAGUUUCUGAGAUAGAAAUUAAGUGUGAUGGAGAUAUUUUUUAUGAAGUAUAUAGGCACAGGCCACACCAUAUCUCCACCAUUUCCCCUAAUAACAUACAAAAUGUGGAUGUUCAUGAAGGUGAAUGGGGCACAGUUGACUCUGUUAUCUUUUGGAACUUCAUUCAUGAUGGGAAAGAAGUGGUGGCAAAGGAGAAAGUGGAAGAAAUAGAUGAAGAAAAGAAGCUAAUUAAAAAAAAAGAUAAUUGAAGGAGAUAUAUUAGAGUAUUACAAAUCAUUUUAUAUCACUUUUCAUGUUGAGACAAAAGGUGAAAAUAAUUUAGUUACUUUAAUCAUAGAAUAUGAAAAGAAAAAUGCUAAUGUGCCAGAUCCACACACAUUCAUCGAAUUACUCCUCAAUGUAACCAAAGAUAUUGAGAAUUAUCACAUUAAGUGAUACAUAAAUAUUAUAUACGAGGACUCUUUGAAAAUAUCGAUAAAUAUAUGUCGAAUUCUUUAAAAUAAUGUAUUUUGAAAAAAUCGAUAUGAAUAAGAUAACAUUUCUGAAUAAUUGAAACAAUGUAUACCAAAUGCUUGGAUUUAAGUUGUUUUCUCAAAGUCUUGUAAUAAUAUGUGUUGUUAUUAGCGGGUGUACUUUGAAAUGUCUUGUAACAAAAAUAAAAUGAGCGGAUAUCUAAUUUUUAUAGAUAAAUAAAAAAUAAAAGUUGUCA
Long non-coding RNA from Solanum lycopersicum (tomato), 1637 nucleotides. RefSeq lists it as uncharacterized. NCBI's taxonomy places the organism in Eukaryota, Viridiplantae, Streptophyta, Magnoliopsida, Solanales, Solanaceae. The record is from RefSeq and is a predicted model, not a curated record.